UGCGGCGGUCACGCCAUUGAGCGCGAAAAAUGUCUGAUCAGCAAAAAGAAACAAAUGCCCAUCAAAUUGCAAAAAGACGACUGGAUUUAACUGAAGACCGGGAUGCGGGCGGUAGCAAACGCUUUUGCAGCGAAAGCCUCUUUUGGCCAGACAGCGACGAGGAGAGUUUCUUCUCCAAUGCAAAGCUUGAAGAUUUGGUCAGCGGCCGCAAUGAGCUAUUCGGAACCCAGGCGCAGACGAGCGACAAACCGUUGCAGCGCAGUGGAUCGGACGAUGGCCUUUUUGCUGACAUCUCUUCUCCCAGCACCCAGAGAGCCGAGCAGGAGCAGGGACACGGCACGGACAAUGCGUCGACUAAAGAAAAUCAGAUCGAUCUGGCGGUUGAGGCGGAUGCCGGCACUCUGUUCAAGCAGAUCAAUCUUCAUGAUCUGAGCAUUGCUGAAAUGGAGGAUAUAUUCCACGGAGCCGAAGACUUUAGUGAGCCAAUUGUGCAGAAUACGCAACUUUUCCUCGACGCAGUCGCAUUCAAAGUGCCCAAUCCCAAGAGCCCAGAGAAAGCUGAGAAAUCGUUGGCUGCGGUCAAGGACGAGUCCAUGUGCGCCAUUGAGGGACUGGUUCAUGGCACGCAAUACGCGACCUGUGAGGAGCUGAAGAACCAAUCAAUACUCGACCCAAUCAAUUGGGAGACUCAAGCCUUUGCCGACUUUGAGCAGAAGAGCCUGGCCCAAGACAACUUCCCCAGCAAGGGCGACUUCUACGGACUGCCGGAUAAGGUCAAGAAGAUGAUACUCGAACACAAGGGCAUCAAGAGCCUCUAUGAAUGGCAGGACGAGUGCCUGAAUUUACCGGCAAUACGCCAGCGAAAGAAUCUAAUCUACGCCCUGCCCACCAGCGGCGGUAAAACCCUGGUGGCAGAGAUUCUCAUGCUGCGCGAACUGCUGUGUCGGGAGCGCAAUGUGCUGUUCAUAUUGCCAUACGUCUCGAUUGUCCAGGAGAAGGUCAGCGCCAUGUCGCCGUUUGCCAUUGACCUGGACUUCAUUGUCGAUGAGUAUACGGCCGGCAAGGGCAAAUGUCCGCCAGAGCCUCGUCGCAAGAGGCGCAGCUUGUUUAUUGCCUCAAUCGAAAAGGGAGCCGUGCUGAUGGACAGCCUGAUUGAUGUGCAACGUCCCCAUGAGAUUGGCCUUGUGGUGGUCGAUGAGCUUCAUUUGAUUGGCGAACGGGGACGCGGCGCCACCCUCGAGGCCUUUCUCACCAAAGUCAUGUUUCUGAAUGCAAAUAUUCAAAUUGUGGGCAUGAGUGCAACGAUAGGAAACCUCAGCGAGAUCUCUGCCUUUCUCAAUGCCGAUGUCUACACCCGCGGCUUUCGGCCCGUGGAGCUGAAAGAGUACAUCAAAUGUGGCUGCGAUUUGUUGGAGAUCAACUCGGCUGGCCAUACCCUCGAGGAAAUAUUCGUUCCCAGUCGCACAGUCGACUUUAAUUACAGCGAUGUUGUGAAGCGUUCGGAUCCUGAUCAUUUGGCGGGAUUGAUCAGCGAAUGUGCGCCAGAGCAUUGCUGUUUGGUGUUCUGCCCCAGCCGCAAGAACUGCGAGAAUGUGGCACUGCUGCUGAGCCGCAUUGUGUCCAAGCAGAAGUUCUUGGAGCAUCGCCGCAGCGAAAAGGCCGAUCUCAUGGAUGCCCUGGACAAGAUAUGCGGCAUUCUUAGCCCUGUGCUGGCCAAAACCCUGCCCUUCGGCAUUGCCUAUCACCACUCUGGCCUCACCACCGACGAGCGCAAGUAUAUAGAGACAGCCUAUCGCUUUGGCGUCGUCACCGUCAUCUGCUGCACCUCCACCCUGGCUGCGGGCGUGAAUCUGCCGGCCAAGCGUGUCAUCAUUCGCGCUCCCUACGUGGGCCAGGAGUUCAUGACGCUGUGCAAGUACAAGCAAAUGGUAGGACGCGCCGGACGCGCUGGCCUGGGCGAGGCCGGCGAGAGUAUUUUGAUAGCCCAAAGCAGGGACAAUCUGCAGGUAGGACAAAUGCUCUUCUCGCCCAUGGACAAGGCGCUGAGUUCGUUAUAUCAGCAGGAGGCCGUGGGAUUGCAGUCACUCAUUCUGAGCGUGAUUGGGCUCAACCUUGCCGAAUGCCGCCGCGAUUUGAAUCGCCUGGUGAACAGCACGCUCCUUGCGGUGCAGGCCAAUAUCCUGGAGGUGGCUGUGGACGAGCUGGUUCUCCGCAUACUCCGCGAAAUGUUCAAGAACAAAGUGCUGCAGCUGACAGAGCCGACGGCAGCCAAGCCAAAGAUCAACUGCUCGGUUAUAAUUACCACCCAGGAUGGGAACCAGAGCACUCGUCCCGCUGACGAUCGUCGCCUGUUCAUUGGCCAGUCCACGCGCUUCAAGCUGACCAACAUUGGACGGGCUGCCUUCAAGGCGGGCAUUGACUACAAGCGCGCCAGCGCCAUUCACCGCGAACUGAAGCUGGCCCAGCAGCAGCUCAUUCUCAACAGCUACUCGCAUCUGCUGUAUCUCGUGGUGUGCUUCAACUCGAAUGAGCGGGGGGACGAUUUGUUCCCCGCCGAUGCCAGCAUUCUGUUCAACGUCUACACGUCGCUGUCCAUCGAAUCGCAGGCGCUGUUCAAGCAGCUCGGCUUCACCGAGGCCCAUGCGGCCAGGCUCUUGAAGACGCAGUCGGUGCAGGGUCCCAUGGCCCUGCAACUGAAUCGCCUCUACAAAGUGCUCAUCCUGUCCGAUAUUCUGGACCUCUUGCCGCUGCCCACAGUCUCCGGCAAAUACAAUGUGGAGCGCGGCACUCUGCAGCACCUGAUCAGCCAGUCGAUUUCCGCCUCCAGUGCCAUUGUGCGACUGUGCGAUGAAAUGGGGGAGUUCUGGUGCUACAAGCCAUUGUUCGAGCGCGUUCUUCACAAAAUGGAUCGUUGUGGCACGCAAGAAUUGGAGUCACUCAUGGAGUUGCCUGGCGUUAAAAUUAAUCGCGCCAAGCAGCUGUAUGCAGCGGGCUUCAGGACCAUUGAGGAUUUAGCCAAAAUACGACCCAGGAAUUUGGUGCAAGCCGUAGAGCAUAUGCCAUUGAGAGUGGCCACGGAAAUUGUCUCAGCAGCAAAGAUUAUAUUGAUGAAGAAACUAGAUCAUUUGGAGGAGGAAACGGAGAACCUGAAGGUCUGCCUGCGCUCCAGUGAUUAGUGGGCCGCCAGCGGUAGCGUUAAGUGACCCACGGAUUCACAGACUCCGACCGAAAAAGAGCAUAGCUCGAAGCGCACGACAAUAAAUUGUCUGGGUCUCGAUGAGCAGGCAGGCCUCACCUUACCCGCAUUGUCUUGGCCAAGUUCAAAUUCAAGGCUAAGCACGAUGACAAAUGCCGACUCCACUUGGUACACCCCCUUACAGCGCACGCCACUGCGCCUGCUGUCGGCAAACUGACGAAUUGAAGAGACAAACCACUGUCAAAACUGGCCAAAGAGUUUGCAUCUUUUUGGAUUUGAAUACACUUGACAAUCGCUUAACAAAAAGCGACUUAACCUUACCCCAAACGAAACCAGACAGCCGGAGACCAGGGACCAGAGCCCGAUGAGAUGAGAGGCAGAUGCAGAGGCAGAGUCGACUCCUCUUCAGCAAUCCUCUUCGAUAAUCGCAGCAAUUAUACUAAGCACACAAAUCAACUUCAACUUCACCGCUGGACGCUGCUGCUGGAGACCCGAGGAGUAGUCUCUUAGAGGGAAAAACAAACCAUAACGAAAUGUUUUACAUUAAUUUCAAAACGCAUGCGACAACCCCAAGUUGCAUUGCAAAAAAUCAGAAA
This is an RNA transcript of Drosophila obscura, 3792 nucleotides long. It is a transcript of the gene named helicase POLQ-like, with no coding region annotated. The record is from RefSeq and is a predicted model, not a curated record. NCBI's taxonomy places the organism in Eukaryota, Metazoa, Arthropoda, Insecta, Diptera, Drosophilidae. The transcript is spliced from 9 exons.